RNAcentral lists this ribosomal RNA (292 nucleotides) under uncultured bacterium. RNAcentral describes it as "partial 16S ribosomal RNA". It matches the Rfam family "Bacterial small subunit ribosomal RNA", at positions 505 to 796 of the family's 1533-position model. The record is from RNAcentral.
GUGCCAGCAGCCGCGGUAAUACGAAGGGGGCUAGCGUUGCUCGGAAUUACUGGGCGUAAAGCGCACGUAGGCGGCGAUUCAAGUUAGAUGUGAAAGGCCUGGGCUCAACCCGGGAACUGCAUUUGAUACUGAAUUGCUAGAGUCCAAGAGAGGGUAGUGGAAUUCCCAGUGUAGAGGUGAAAUUCGUAGAUAUUGGGAAGAACACCAGUGGCGAAGGCGGCUACCUGGCUUGGUACUGACGCUCAGGUGCGAAAGCGUGGGGAGCGAACAGGAUUAGAUACCCCGGUAGUCC